Molecule: ribosomal RNA, 528 nt
Filed under: Triticum aestivum (bread wheat)
Lineage: Eukaryota; Viridiplantae; Streptophyta; Magnoliopsida; Poales; Poaceae
Description: partial small subunit ribosomal RNA
Source: RNAcentral
AUGAUACUAGGGGGGGAUUUCAAUAUUCCCCGAUAUCAGCAGGAGAAAAACAACGAUAGGUCUGACACUAGAUGGCCAUUCCUUUUUAAUGCUGUUAUUGAUAGUCUCGAUUUGCGGGAACUUACCUUAUCUGGGCGCCAAUAUACAUGGGCCAAUAACAGAUCUAUCCCAACUUUCGAAAAAUUAGACCGGGUGCUCGUUACCACCGACUGGGAAUUUAAGUACCCCCUAGCUUCGGUGAGAGCACUGGAGAGAAUUGAGGCUUUAUCUGAUCAUGCUCCGUUGCUAACUGAUUUCGGUCAACCUGUUCCUAGUAAUAGCCGCCAUCAGUUCAAAUUCGAAUUGGGAUGGCUCACUAGAGAGGGUUUUCAUGAGUUGGUAAAAAAGUGUGGCAACGCCAACCUCGUGGUGACACACCAAUUCAACGAUGGAACAAUCGUAUCCGUGCGCUGCGCCAAUUCCUUCGUGGUUGGGCCAAACACACCGCAGGGAUUUAUAAGAAGGAGAAGUUGCGAAUCUCUACCUUAA